GUCAAAGCAGGAUCUCCUUUAUUGAGAAAACGCACACAGCUAAUAUAAUGUACAGGAGCCAAUCAGGAUAAAGGUCAGCAGGGUGGGGAGAAUUUACAUCUACACCCAUCCUACUGGCAGUAACGGGAGACAGGAGCUGUCUGUGAAGGCAGAAGGGUUCUGAGCCUAUCCUAGAGGUGGUCCAAUUCUUCAUCACAACCCAUGGCAAUGCCUUCUGGCUAACUGCUAGGUACUCUCUUAGCCACAGGUGGCCCCAGGACUGGGAAGCGGGUGCAGCCAGCAAGGUAAGUUUCCUCUUUUCUGAUGCAACAUGCUCCACAGUUACAUUAUGCCCUACAAUGAUCCUCCUGAACAUCACCAGAGGGAUGUUCAAUUUCUCUGUGGCACCACUGGGCUCGAAAUGUAGGUACUGAAAGAAGCCAUCUCCUUGGCUGGCUUCUCUGAGGACAUGGUGUGGUGGGGCGGGGUGAUGGGAGCAGCCCAGCUGCUCCAGGGGGCUUCUCUGCUGUUCUACAUCCCUCAACCAUCAGCUGCCCACCCCCCUGAGGCCAUCUGUCCCACAGCCCAUGUGAUGCAGCCACUCACAGCCUCCAAGGGCCUUUCAGUGUCUGUCCCACCCUUUCCAAUUCCAUCACUACUGGCUUCCAGAUAUCUGCAGUUUCUGUAGAAACUCUUCACUACUCUGAACCAGCUAGUUAUCAGGUUCAUAUUUUGGUGCCUUAAACUCCAGGGAAAUCAUUCUUAUUUAAUUAUUCACAAGUAUUUUCCUUCCAGAAGUGCUAGACACCACCAUGGCGGGGGCAGGGGAGGCACGACUCAGCCUCCACAGGGUCAGUGCCCAGGGCCCAAUCCACUCUAAGUGUGACUCAUUCCUUCUUCCUCACCUAUGGUCCUUUAGGGGACCUGGUGCUCAAUCCCUGCAUCUGGCAGGGCCCUCUAAACCCCUAAGACACAUCUGCACAUGUCAGAAUUCAAGGUGUGGACAGGAUUCACGUUCCUCCCAUGGGGCUAUUGGCACAACCCAGACAGGGUUGUGGCUAAAGAGCUGCCCAAGUGUCCCUUAACCUCCCACACACUGGGACUCUCUACAUCUCCACAUUUCAUCAUAUCUGAGUCUUCACUUUGAUCCAGUCAAAACUCUUUUUUGAAAGCUUCUAUGGUUAUGUGACAGAAAAAGAAAGAAAAACCUUCACUCUUUCCCUUCUUUUUAUAAGAAGAAAGCAGAGCUGGUAGUGUACCUCAGUACUGGAGCAUGCGUGAGGCCCUGGGUUCAGUCCCCAGACCCAGAAACAAACAAACUAUUGUCUCCAGGAGAAAUAAUCAACAUUUGUGUUUUGGAGAUAUUUUUGUUCUAAUAAGUGUACUAAUCCAAAAAUCCUCCCGGUGGAAGGGAAACCUCCAUUGGAUCAUGCAUCCAAUCUGGCUCCCAGGAUGGGUUUUCCUUCCCCAGCACUGGGCACCUGGAGGAAGCCUGUUGGGAAAACAUAACGGCAGCCGCACCCCAGAGAAAAACCCCAGCAUGGCAUCUAACGACCCUCCUUCUCUUCUUUGUUUCUUUCAUUGGCGCGAAACGUUCCCGCCAGUGCCAAUGUUCAAAUCGUGCUGAUGGGAAGCCUUAGCCCCAAUUAGAAUUAACUUCUUGGGCUCCGGAACUGACAUAUGGAAGAGCUUGCCAAUAAACGGGCGACCUGUUAUCUACCUCAGCCCCUGCUACCUCUCUUAGACCUAUGUAAACACACAGCCUUUUGUAAUAAAGCGGAAACCUCUUUGGUAAUCUGUGUCGUGUGAUGCGGCGUCUUCCCAUCUUACAAAGCCAGGAACUUUAGAACAGGAAUUGGGGUCCUGUCAGGGAGGGAGGAAGCCAGGAGCGAGAGCACAUCCUCUGGGAUGGGUUGGGGAUAGAAAUGAACUUAUGAACUGCCACUAGAACAAGUAGAGACUGUGCUGGCAUGGCAGGAGCAUGGAGUCAAAUAGAGGACGAUAACUAGAGUGGAGUGGAGGGACAUCUGUCUGAGCAUCCUCAUAAGGAGGGUGAAGACAGGUGAGCCAUGAGGAGGUAACCAUGGUGGGACCCACCUGUAAUCUCAGUGGCUCCAGAGGCUGAGACAGGAGGAUCAUGAGUUCAAAGCCAGCCUCAGCAACUUAGAGAGGGCCUUAGCAACUUUGACAGACCCUGUCUCAAUAGAAAAAAUGAAAAAGGCUGGGGAUGUGGCUCAGGGGUUAAGCGCCCUGGAUUAAAUUCCCGGUACCAAAAGGAAAUUUGCCAUCUUAAUCAUUUUAAGUGUACAAUUCAGUGGCAAUAAUCACAUCCACUGUGUUGUGCAACCAUCAUCACUAUCCACUUCCAGAACUUUUUCAUCAUCCCAAACUGAAACUCUAUCCCAUUAAGCAAGAACUACCCAUUCCCUUCUCCCUCAAGCCCCAGUAAAUUCUGCCCUACUUUCUGUCUCUAUUAAUUUGACUCCUCUAGAUAUUUCAUAUAAAUGGGGUCAUACAAUAUUUGCUUUUUUGUGCUUGGCUUAUUUCACUGAGCAUGUUUUGGAAGUUCAUCCAUGUUGUAGGCAUGUACCAUAAUUCCAUUCCUUUUAAAGACUGGAUAGUAUUCCAUUGCCUGAAGAUGCCACAUUUAGUUUCUUCAUUCAUCUGUUGAGAGACAUUGGGUUGUUUCCACCUUUUGGUUGCUGUGAACAACACUGAUGUGGGCACUGAUGGACAAGUCCUUGUCUUUUUUUUUUUUUUACAGUUUCCUUCAGUUUGCAGUCUGGUGUGCUGCUCUUGUCAAUAUUGAAAGAUUCAAGUCUUAAAGGGGAAAGGAGACCUACCUCAGCCCUCUUUCCCUACCCAACACUCUCCCAGGCUCCAGAUGGAGGAAACUUCACCUCAGAAUGCCACAGAGCAACACGCACAAAGUUGGAAACCACAGUCAGAGGAACAUCCAAGGAGGACAUGCAAGAGGAAAGGUGUGGCCAACCCAAUCUUCCAUUUCUCUCUCUGAAAGAGAUGCUCCAUCAGCAGAGGAGAUGGGGUGAGCCAGCUCUAUAUCUAUUUGAGGAUUGCAUUUAUAAUACUUAAAAAUAAGUCUGGGAAGAUAGGGAAGAAUAUGUUUACAGUGCUCAUUUUGGAGGAUGGAAUCAUUGGUGCUAUUCCUUUCAUAUUAAAUAAAAAAAUAGAACUGUUUCUACUAAUGAAUGCUAGAUUGAUUACUCAGAUAAAAAAUAUAACAAAAUAUUCAUUUCAGUGCUUGCAUUCAAAAUACAACCAUCCAACUGUCCCUUCUUUUAAGCAGGAAGUUUUAUGCAUUAGAAUUGUCACAGAUUUUAUUAAGAUUUUUGACAUGUCUUCAAGACAGUGAGCCUGUGUCAUUAACUGAAUUAUCCAUUGUGUGGCUAAUGCUAUUAGGAAACUACAAAUAAAACAGACAUAUAAUUAUACUCAAAUUACUGAAAUAAAAAAUACAGACCAGAUCUGUGCCAUGCACAUAAUAUAAAACAAAUUUCCACCAAUCUCAGUAAGAAUGAUGCUGUCACAUGUAUGUAUUUGGAAAGUAGGAGGCCUUACACACUCUAUGUGCUUAGUGUCCUGGGAGUGCAGCUUUAAGGAGAUCUAAGAGCUCAGCUGUUCUUCCUAAUGUCUUCAGCUCUGUAGCUCAUUGCCCUGCAGUGGGCAGGAGUAGGCCUUGUCACCUUGAAUACCUCCUUGGCAAGUAACCCACAGGAACAAAGCAGGCAGGGUAUCCGAUGGUGACUGUGUCAUUUAUCUUCCAAGUGCAAACACUUUUAAGACUGAAAACGGGAGUGACUUCAUUCAUUUUCUCAUGCUAUAAAAUAAUAUCUGAGACUGAAUGAUUUAUAAAGGAAGGAGACUUAUGUGGUUCCUGGUUCUGGCAACUGGGAAAUCCAAGAGCACCCACUGGCAUCUGCUAGGCUUCUGGUGAGAACCUCAUGCAGCUUCAAAUCCUGAUGGACAGUGGAAGGGCAAACAGAUGAUUGUGAAAGAGGCAAGACAACAACCCAUUGUCUCAUAGUAAUUAAACCAGUGCCUCAAGAGCAGGGACUCCUUCACACAGAGGCACUAGUCCAUUCUUGAGGGCUCUGCUUCCCAGACCUGAGCACUUCUUGCUAACCCCCACUUCCCAACACUGCUACAAUGAGAAACUAAUGUUUCAACACAUAAAUUAUUUUUCAGGGGCACACUAGAACCCUAGCAUGGAGCUAUUGCUAAUUGCAUGGAGAAAAUUAGUAUAAACUGGGACCAGGAAGGUAAAUCAGGAAGUGAUGUAUGUUUCCUUUAAAAUAAAGCAUAUAGAAUGAGGGGGCUUCUGGCUACAACUAGAGAGUACACCCCCUUCCAGCCACUGACGGACAAUAUUUGAAAGCAAAUCUAAUCUCGGCAGUUUCCCCAAGGGAAUCAUUGCAGGCAUCCAGGACAAGCUUCACAAGCUGUGGAACUGACAGGACUCUCCCCUGUUACACUACGUUUUAGUCAGCUGUUUUGCCACUGUGACAAAAUGACUCAACCAGAACAACUGCAGAGAAGGAAAAGUUUAUUUGAAGGCUCACGGUUCAGCGGUCUUAAUCCAUAGAAGGCCAGCUCCAUUCCUCAGGGCUCGAGGUGAGGCUGAACAUCAUGGUGAGAGGGUGUGGCAGAGGGAAGCAGCUCACAUGAUGAUCAGAAAGCAGAGACUCCACUCACCAGCUACAAAUAUAUACCCCAAAGCCAAGCCCCAGUUCCCACCUCCUCCAGCCACACCCCACCACUUCAGUUACCACUCAGUUAAUCCCCAUCAGGGGGUUAAUUCACUGACUGGGUUAAGACUCUCACAACUCAAUCCUUCUCCUCUGAGCCUUUUUGCAUUGUCUCACACAUGAACUUUUGGGGGACACCUCAUAUGCAACCAUAACACACUUCAAACUGGAAACAACUAAGAUGGUCUGUAGGGCAUGAUGUAACAUGUGGGGCAUGUUGCAUCAGAAAAGAGGAAACCUAACUUGCUGGCUGCUACCCGCUUCCCAGUCCUGGGGCCACAUGUGGCUAAGAGAACACCUGGCGAUUAGCCAGAAAGCAUUGCCGUGGGUUGUGAUGAAGAAUCGGACCACCUCUAGGGUAGGCUCAGAACCCUUCUGCCCUCACGGACAGCUCCUGUCUCCCAUUAUGGGUAUACAGGUGAACUCUCCCCACCCUGCUCACCUUUAUCCUGAUUGGCUCCUGUAUAUUAUAUUAGCUGUGUGUGUUUUCUCAUUAAACGAGAUCCUGCUUUGACUGGUCUCCCUGGCACAUCUGAUUGUCCUCUGGCGAGGGAGGGCUGGGUGUGGGUGGCCAGUCAGCCUUUUCCCUUUCUUGGCUCAUCCUGGUCAGGGCGUGUUUUACCCAUCUCUCUCGCAGGUCAGGAGGGAACGGAGGCUAAAACCCCCGACAGUGGUCGAUAACAUGAGAUGGUUGGGGAAAUGGUGGUGUGUUCAUAUUGGCUUUUGCUAGUCAUGUCCUUAAAGAAUUUUCAGUGAAAUGGGCAAAAAUCUCAUGACACAGUGUUGACUUAAAAAAGCAGAUGACAGUCAGGCACCAUGUCACAUGCCUGUAAUCCCAGCUGUUUGGAAUGCUGAGACAGGAAGAUUAGCAACUCAGCAAGGCCCAAAACAUCUUAGUGAGACCCUGUCUCAAAAUAAAAAAUUAAAAAGACUGGGUAUGUGGCUCAGUGGGAAACCAGCAUUCAAUCUCUGGUGGAAGGAAGGAAGGAAGGAAGGAAGGAGACUACAAAGUAACCCACCACUCUGUAGCAAACAUCUAUAUCAUCCCUCUCUGACUCUCUCUCUAUAUAGAGAGAGAGACAUAUAUAUGUAUAUACAUGAAGAAUGUACAAUAUGUAUAUGAAGAAUAUAUAAAGAAUGAUUUUUGUCCUUAGUGUUUCCUCAAGGUUUUUCUUUAUAGUAAGCAUCAUUAUUUGCAGAAUCAGAAAAAUGCAUUAUAUAUGUAUAUGAACGCCGAAUGUAAAUAUAUAAAUCCAGCUUUCACACACACGUUGUAUGUAAGUGCUUGUGUGUAAAUGUACAUAUAUUAUGUUUUCUCAUGUGGUACCUCCAGUACUACUCCAUCUGGCCAGAGAAUCCCUUGUCAUCUUCUACACCUUGGCCUUGGGUAGAAGCCCAUGUCAGGAUCAUGACAGGUAGAGUCAAAAAAAGAAUUCUCAGAAAAUGUCUGCAUCCUAAAUUUUCUGGACAAUAUAGUAAUGCCAGGAAGGGGAGGCAACAGAAUUUUGUUACCAUAUUAGAGGUUGUGGGUGUGCACAAACUUUUAGUAAAAAAAAAAAAACUCUUAUUGUUACACUCUUUUACAAAAAUGGGCUUUCCGGUGCUUAAUCUAUUUUCUAAAUGAUCCUUUCUAGGCCACCUGCAUCCUGCACACGCAUCCACAAAAGGUUUUGUUGUGUUUGUGUUAAUGUCAAGUCUGUCAAUAAAGCUGAAUCUCAUUGCCUGGCUGCAAAGGGGAAGCCUGUCUCCUGUGAUUCCACUGGAGACAUGCACAGGAGGGUAGUCACCACACAGUCCAGGGAGAUUUUUCUUUCCCCUGGAUUUUGGGAAGAGAACCUAACAGUGUCUAUGUAGCCACUGGUUCACUUGGAUUAAUAAAUAUCACAGGAGACUGGGGAUGUGGCUCAGUGAUAGAGCGCUUGCCUAGCAUGGAUGAAGCCCUGGGGUUCAAUCCCUACCGAAAAAAAAAAUCACAGAGCAAACAGACUGGUAAAGUUGCUGUGUUCUCUUUGGAUCAAAUGACAUUUUUAUGUAUUUACUUGUACAUAUUGCAUUUCAUUAGAAAAGGCUUUGACAUGGUAUAAUGGCUUAUUUAUUCUUUAUUUGCUUUCAUUUGUUGAAUUUAUGUAUUGAUUUUCCAAAACAUGAUAAGAUUUAAAAAAAUAAAAAAGAAAAGUAGAAGAGGAGGCAAGGGGAGUAUUAGUGCACAGAAUGCCUGUGAGUUACAAAGAUAGCCCUUGGGGACUUCCUGGAGGUAGAGUCACCUUAUGACUGAGUCAGUGGGAGAGGCUCAUGAAGCAAGCUGCUUUUAUUUGGGGGUCUAAACAUUUUAAAACACUAUAAAUAGUUCAUUGAAAGUUCAUCCAGAGUCCAAAAAUUGUUAGAUGCAAUCAUAAACUCCUGUGAUGACCACAGAAGACAGAAAUACCUUAGUGCUGUAAUUUAUUGCUAUCUUCUAGGAAAGCUUGGAGUGACUACUAGGUACAGAACAAUGCCCAGUGAAUAAAUUAGGGCUUGGCAGUAUGAAGAUUCCUCAGAAAACUUGGAAUGGAACUACCAUUUGACCCAGUUAUCCCACUCCUCAGCAUAUACCCAAAGGACUUCAAAUCAACCUACUAUAGUGAAACAGCCAUAUCAACAUGUAUGGCAGCUCAAUUCACAAUAGCUAAGCUAUGGAUCCAACCUAGGUGCCCUUCAACAGAUGAAUGAAUGGAUAAAGAAAAUGCGAUAUAUAUACACGUGGGUUAUUACUCAGCCAUAAAGAAGAAUGAAAUUAUGGCAUUUGCUGGUAAAUGUAUGGAAAUGGAGAAUAUCAUGCUAAGCGAAAUAAGCCAAUCCCCCGAAACCAAAGGUCAAAUGUGCUCUCUGAUAUGUGGAUGCUGACACACAAUCAAGGGAGUGGGAGGGAAGAAUAGAAAUUCGUUGGAGUAGACAGAGGGGAAUGAAAGGAAGGAAGGGAGGAUGGGUUAGGAAAGAUGGUAGAACGGAUCAGACAUAACUUUCCUACAUUCAUACAUGAAUACAAGACCAGUGUAACCUCACAUUAUGUACAACCUCAAGAAUGGGAAGUUAUACUCCAUGUUUGUAUGACAUGUCAAAAUACACUCUACUGUCAUGUAUAUCUAAAAAGAACAAAUUUUUUAAAAUUUAGGACUUGGUCUUAAGAAGUCUUUAUCCAUCUUUAAAUCUAGAUAAAGAGUCUUUGGUCUUGACCUAACAUGUUGCUAAGAUUCCUUAGCCUGCCAUUCAAGGCCACCACAAGCCACAGUGGACAAAUAUAAGCCUUAGCCCCACUUCUUCUCUACAUGACCCUCUCAUUCCAAUGGAAACAGAGUAUUCAGGUUCCCCAUGCAUGCUGGUGACUAAAGGACCCGACCAGCACAAUUGUAGAGGAGGAAAUGUUUACUUGAGGGCUCAUGGUUUCAGAGGUCUUAGUCCUUAGAAGGUGGGAUCCAUUUCUCAGGGCUCAAGGUGAGGUAGAACAUCAUGGUGGAAAAAUGUGGCAAAGGGAAGAAGUUCACAUGGUGAUCAGCAAAUGGAGAAAGAGACUCCACUCUCCAGAUACCAGUAUAUACCCCAAAGCCAUGCCCUCAAUACCCCACCUCUUUUAGCCACACCCCACCUGCCUUCAGUGAUUAAUUCACCUGCCAUCAGGUGAUUAAUUCACUGAUUGGGUUAAGGCUCUCAUAACCCGAACAUUUUUUUCUCUGAACUUUCUUGCAUUGUCUCACACAUGAGUUUUGAGGGACACCUCACAUCCAAAUCAUAACAAUUUGCAAUGCUUUUUUUUUUUAACCCAGGGGUGCUUAACCACUGAGCCAUAGCCUCAGCUCUUUUGUUUAGAAACAAAGUCUUGCUGUCUUACUUAAGGCCUCACAAAGUUGCUGAGGCUGGCUUUGAACCUUUGAUCCUCCUGCCUCAGCCUCCCAAGCCACUGGGAUUACAAGCGUGUGCCACUGCCCUGGCCACAAUGCUCUUUUUUACUGAUAAGAAAACCCAAAUCCUUUGUGAGGCAUCUGAUCACUUUCUUUUCUAUCUACUGCCUCUUGCAGCCUGGAGUAUCCCUAUCUCCUGUGAAGUUAAGUGAGACAUGAGACUGAAUUCUAGCCAAUGGAAAGUGAAAUGAAACAAAAAUGACUCAAGUACCCUGCUAGUAGUUUAAUGGGGUGGUUGCAGGGGUGAGGGGUGGGUGGAGGGGUCAAAUGGCCUCGGAAACUGCAAGAUGAAAAUGGAAGAGCUAAAGGAUGGAAAGAGACUAAGACCCGGAAUUGCUACCUGGAGAACUACCCACCCAUCAGGAAUUUAUUACACAUCCAGAAGUCUGUGUUAUAGCAGCUAACCUAUUUUGACUAAUAUACCCCAGUGGAGAGGUUCAUAUUGCACAAAUGUAUUAUGUUCUUAUAUGUUGGGGUCCUCUCUCUUCAAUUAGACUGUAAAUUCCUUUGCAACGCUUCCAUUUAAAAGUCUUAUAUUCAUAGAAAGCCUAUCACAGAGGUUCAUACAAAAUGAGCCUUCAGGAAAUACCAAGUGAUUUAACAGGCUUCAAAUGGGAUGCAACUAGGUCUUUGUGGUUUGUGUGUGAGUACCUCCCUGGGUAGUCACAAAGGACUGGACUCCCAGGGAUCCAAAAUCCAAGGUUGCUCAAGUCCCUUAUAUAAAAUGAUGAAGUAUUUGCAGAUAAUCAAUGCACAUCCUCCCACAUAUCUUAAAUACUCUCUAGAUUACAAUACUACCUAAUACAAUUUAAAUGUUAUGUCAAUAUUUACAGAAUAUUAAUAAUAUAUUCUAUUAUUUAGAGAAUGACUAGAAAAAACAAGUUCAGUAUAGAUGAACCCCCCUCCAAUCUCUGAUUGGUUGAAUCAGAGGAUGUGGAACCCCCAUGAUAUAGAGAGGUGAGUGUGUAUGGUCGUGUGCUAGUGCUCACUGUUAAUAAAAGUUCUUGCUGCUAAGGAAUUUGAGAACCAAUGUGUGCUUAAAGUUGAGAUCUAGUGGAAAAAAAAAUGAGUAUGUCCAAAAAUCUAUUUAGAACUUCAUUCAGAGAUAUUUAGCCCUUUGAACCUAGAGACUAUUGAAGUUAAUGCAAGGUUCAGUCAAGAUAAAACAGGACAGUGAAUUGGGAGGAGGUUUGGGGUCUCUUGUCCCAAUUGUUGCGUACAUUGUGUGACUUUCAAUUUCCUUGACUAUAAAAUGAAUUUGGUAGUUCCCCAGUGAAAUUCUGUGGACUAAUGAUAAAUUAACUGGCAUUCAAUUUUACACACACACACACACACACACACACAUUCCAUGUGCUUCUGAUGUACAAACAAGAUUUGGGGAAUGGUGGGCUGGGUAAUUUUAUCCUCUGAAUCUAUGCUGUUUAACUUGGAAACACAAAUUUAUUUUGCUGAUCUUAGAACAUAGGAUUGAAUAAACCAUCCCUAUGGGAGAAAAAAAAGUGAAACACCUUUAUCUAGUUCAAAUAAAAAGGAGAAAUAUAUAUGCUUUAACAUGAUUUGGUAGAGGAAAUGUUUUCUUUGACAGGAUAUUAGAGAAUCUGUCAUGAGUUAUUAAAUAGGGAAGUCAAAGUUCCCAUUGCAGGAACUUAAUAAAUAUUUGUUGAUUAACUGGUUGAUGUGCUAAUUGAAGCAGAGAAGGAAUUUUGUCUCUGUUUUGAAGUCCAGAUUUCUAAUUGCUCAUUCAGGAUAAAAAUGUGCUUUGUGUUCAGCUAAGCAACCUAAACUGUCUAUUCCAUUAUUCAAACACACACCAAAAAGGACUUAAUGUAGCCUUUGGCAACUGAAGAUAUAACUGCUGCAUCAGACUUCUUUGGGUCAAAUAGUACUGGUUACUUUUAGUUAUUGAAAAAUAUUACAUAAUGUAUGUGCUGAACUUGACAUAGGUUUAAAUCAUAGCACCUCAGGAAUUUCAGACAAAAAUCCUCACACUUUGAGGGUGGCCUUGUUCCCCUUCUGUGGAUGUUUAUUUUUGACUUAGAGUGAAAACCAAAGGGUGACUAUGGCAGAACUUUCUACAAUGGAAAGGAUCCAAGGUCCUUUAAAAGUGCAUCAAUCAGAGCUAUUGAUUCGAAAAGUAAGCGAUUUCCAGUGGUACCAAAGAAUUGUCCUAGUAUAAUAAUUAGAAUGUGUCUUCUAUUCAACACAUUCCAAAUUACUUUCUAUUCAAACAUUUCCAAAAAUGUGUUUUUAUUCAACAUGUUCAAAAUGUCCAUCUUUCAAAAUAUAUUCCUCGAUAAGCCAGUCCCAUCCCAAAUCAGUGGUUCCCACCUUUAUUCCGCAGACUUGGAGGUCAUUUGAAGAAUACAUUCAAUUUUCAUGUAAAUUUGAAUUGUGCACAUUUUAAAUAGUAUCACUGAAUGGGCAACAUAUGAAGUAGUGGAAAUUCCUCCAAAUGUAUUUGAUUUGUCCAGAGUGAUAUAACAAAGCCAGAGCACUGAUCUGGUGACACUUAUAUCACACUUAUAUCUUUGUCUGCUGGUAGCCCAUACUAUGGUAAUAAAUUCCUGUAAGCUUUGGGUGAAUGGCGGUAAACCAUGGCAUGAAUGAGGACUGAAGGCUAUCAUAAGUCAUCUUGGUGACAGUGGAUAUUUGAAACAUUCAUUGUUUUAAUAACUUAACAUCUUUUCUAUCCUAUGCUGAUAUCAUUACCUGUUAGUACCUGUACGUGACAUGAGAUUAUGUGAGAUAUGAUAGAGAAGGACUGGCCUGGCCUUAUCCACAGUGCAAUUAAUUUAGGAGAAGACUCUGCAAAAUUAAAGGAAUAAUGCCAGUACAUUUUUAAAGCAUCAUUAAAACAAAAAUAUGCUACAGCGAGUAUAGAAUUACAUACUCUGAGAAUCUAUCUCCUCUUUAUUUUGUGAGUGUGUCUACAGAAAAAUUAGACUUGAAUUAGGUGAAUUCUGAGUGAUGUAGUUCUUUAAGAAUGCAAUCACCUUCAAAACAUUUCCAUGUGUAUAUCCCUCCUAGAUUAUAAUCUCUUCUAAGAGGAAGCAGAAACCAUCUGUUAUUUUUAUAUUCCACACUCUAAUGACCUAAAAACAAUCAUGGUGGCAUUGUGCUAGAAGUUUACUAUUUACAAAGUGCUUUUGUCUCAAUUCACCCUUGUGAUGACCUUGUGUAUGAGUUUCUUGUUUCCCCAUUUGACAGAUGAGGACCCAGAGGUGUAGAGAGAUUUGUUGACUUGCUCAUGUCACUCAACCAUGAGUGAUGGGUAAGAAAACCAGUUUUCUGGAAUGGGAACCUGCAGGCAUCAAGAUGGACUUCUAACAUGUACCUUUUUGAAGGACUAUCUGAUUCCUUCCUCUGCAUGUAGACAUGUUUUGGCAACACGGAAGAUAAAAACCUCCCUCUUUCCAUCUUUUCUGCAUAAUCUAUGAUUGUGGUCCUCUAUGCAUUUCCCUGGGGAAUCAUGUAGCUGAGGCAACACUUGGUUUGGGGCUGUCUGGUGAUCAAGAAAGGUCCCUGGUGGACACCAAUAUUCAAUGCGUGGAAAUGUAUCCCCUAGGGUUGGAGAGAAGAGGAAGGCACAAGUCUUAUCAGAGCUAUGGGUCCUCAUGAGAGUAGCAGAGUACAUUGGGGACCAGAUUCUGUUUCUGUCAUAACAAAUCAUGAAAUCUUAGACAAGCCCUUCAAUCUUUUCAGGCCUUAAUUUCCUCCUUUGAUAAAUAGGACCAAUUCUAGCUCAAACUAUUUAGCAAGACUGUUGUGAAUGAUGGGAAUGUGUUCUUUCUAAUGCAUGCCACAUUAGUGCAGGACACCCCCAGGACCUAUAGUGAGCCAGUGGGAUGACCAUCCAGCACCCCAUUUCCUGGUGGGCAUAUGAAGGCUUUGUAGUUGUUGAUUUUUAAAAAUAAACUCAGUUUUCCAGAUUUGGAAAACAAAUAGCAAAUACAUUAUGUUGCUGGUCAAAGAAAUGGAAAUAUGUAUUUAUAAGCAAAUCUAUUUUGCUAGUUUUUACAGAUAGAAAAUUAUGUCCCCUAUUGGCCUAUCAGCAAAAAUCUAUAAAAUUAUCCAGAUAUAAGGAGUGAAAUAAGUAGUAAGAAUUUAUUUUCAAAAUGUCCAGAAUAGAAAAUUGAGAUGUUCCAUAAAGAAUCUCCUCUCCUUGUCCCAAAAUGUGCUUAGGGUACAGCUUUGCCAAACCAAAGCAGAUUUGGCAGGGAACUUGUCCUUGUCAUCCAGAACACAGGGCGUGUACGUGCAAGUAACAGGGAGAAGGAAGCACUGGUACAUGCAUACCACCCUGGGGACAAAGGCAGACCCCCAGCAAGAAGCAUGUUGUCCUUGGUGCCAGCCCUGUUCCUCCCUGCUGCCACCGGUGGGCAUCUGAUUUCUCCUGAGUUCGUAUAUUUGUGGGAAGUGAUUACACUCAGGGGGGAAGAAUAGCAGUGUUAUCUUGUGAUCUUUUGAUUCUGGCUGCCUGGAAUGCAUGUUUGAAUAUGAAUCUCUGAGGAGACCUGGCUCAGGAGCCAAAAGUAGUUGAGUACUCAUUCCACAUUCCCUUCUCUUGAACUUAAAGUUCCCUGGGAUGGUCUUGGCUGGCAGCCUAUGGCCACUGAAUUCUUUGUUUUGUUUUAAAUAUGCUGAAUUGUGCAUAAGUCAAGGGUGUAUGCAUUUGCACACUGAAAAAAAAAAGUCUUCCAUCUUAUUCAUGAAAAUUUGUGAAAAUGUGGCACUAGCAGAAUUCUCAAAUUGCAGACGAUAUAGAAUAAUUUCUAAACCAUAGACCCACCUCCCAUUUAGCACCUUUAGAAUAAGAAAUGUCCCUUUCUGAGGUUGAGGAGGGAGAAGAGACUCAAGAAGAUCAUGUGAUUUGUGUGAGGCCACUCAGUCAAUUGACAGAAGAGCCAGGAUGAGAAAGAACAAUUUCUCUGCAUCCUCCUGUCUUGGAACAUCGCUAGCAUGAUCUGGAUUUCUGUCAGAUGGGUCAUACCACAGGAUCAGUACCCGGAACUGGGAGAACCACCUUGAAUGGAAUAGGCACACUAAAAGUCUUUGCAGAGAGCAGGUAGAGUCUAAGAAACAGAGUCAAGUCUUUGAAAGCUGUGGCUACAGAAAGAGGGGGUAUUCUCAAAGCUGUUGGAACUUUAGAGAAGAAACUGGGAGCAGGUGAGGUUGAGAGAUUAUUCUUGCAGAUAGUCUGUUUGUAUCAGACCCCCAACCACUGAGCCCCAUUUUAAGGACAGUAUUCCUGUCCCUGGGAGAAUGUCUGAUCUUAGAAAGUCAGAAACUCAAUGCCACAGGGACUAAAGUGGUUAUCAAAAGACAAAAGUGCACAUUCGAGUUUUAAGAAAUAAGACUGGAACCCAAUGAUCUGGCCAAAGAUGGGGUUCAUUUUCAGGUGUAAAAUAACAAAUCAGGAGCCAGAAGACAGUGUCAGAGAAUUGGAAUAAAUCUGCUAACGCUCUAGGUAGUUUUGAUCCCAGAGGCCAGACUGGGGUUGAGUCUGCAGAUUUGAGAUGUUUAAGGGGUGUGGAAUAGGACAAAGGUGAAGGCUGCUGACCAGGCAGAACUUGGCCUAGACUUUUAACCCAGUGCUCUUUCCUAUUAAAUAUUUAUCUGUUAGCUUCUGCAAAUCUGGAGACUUUUGACCUCUGUGCCUUAUAUGAAAGGGAGAGUAAAGGGAUAUGAGGUUCUGAUUUGCUCUUGCUACUUUGACGAGAACAAGCCUGUAUAUGCCAAAUUUGACAAUCGCAUAUCAGAUGAUUCAAGUCCAGGGAAGUCAUAGCCUUCAGAUAGACUCUUCCAUGGCAGAGCUUAAAGUUCUUCAUAAGUACUCAGAAAAUGGACAUUUAAAAAGUAUAGCAUUAAAUGGGCAUUUUUAAAACAUAUAUUGCAUUUAAGAGGUGUGGUCUAGUGGGAGGUCUUAAGGUCACUGGAAGAAUGCCCUUGAAGGAGAUAGUGGGAUCCGGCCCUUUCCUGUCUUUGGCUUUCUGGCAAUGAGGGUGAGUGAUUUUGCUCCACCAUUUGCUCCUAGCUUGAUAAAUGGUGUCUCAACACAGCCCCCAAAGUAAUGGGGCCAACCAAUCAUGGACUUGAACCUGAACUUUUAAAACUAUGAACCAAAAUAAACAUUUUCUCUUUAUAAGUUAAUUAGCUCAGGUAUUUUGUUAUAGUGAUAGAAAGUGGACUAACACACUCACCUUUUGUCUAAGCCCACCUUCACUGUCAUAGAGCAGAAGAAACUAUUCUUCUCACUAUAUUGUCACACAAAAUUAUUCGGAUCAUGUCAUAUCGAGUUAACUCCUUUUCUUCAUAGAAAAUAAUACAUUAUAGAGUUUCCCAUGAUCUUCUUGUAGAAGAAAGAAUAAUAAUAUUGUUGAGCUGAUUUAUAACUAGCUGAAUGAUCAGUUCUUUGGACUUGAAAGUCAUUGUGUUAGCUUGAGGGAGAUUAUUAGAUCUUUGCUCUUGGCCGUGGACAAAGUGACAAUUGUAUGAAUAACAUGGAUGAAGUUGAGAAAGCAUGCAUAUCAGAUUGAAAGCAUACUUAUCAGAUCCAUAAGUGUAGGUAGGUUAAUUAAAACCAAAUAAUAAAUGCCAAGUAAAUAAUGGAUACACAAAAUCCAAUAAAUGUCCCUAAGUUUGCAUUAAUGAUUUUACCUGUGUUUUAAGUUCAACAGGGAAACAUUUAAAAAAAUAAUCAUGGCUACAAAUUGUUUUAGUUUCCCUGGGAACACAAAAGAAGAAGAAAGAGAAGGAGAGAAAUGAUAAGAAAAGAAAAAGGAAGAAGAGAGACAUUGUCACAUGGCUUAGAUCCUUCCAUGGAUGUUUUGAUUUAGCAUGUGGUUGAUUUAUGUGAAAAUUAGUAAGGACACAUACCAAACUAUUAGCUAUAAUUAAUUCAGAAUCAGGGGACAGACUUUUAAAAAUUUGCCUUUAUUUUUACUAUAUUUUUUGCUUAUGUUUUCCAUAAUCAUAUGUAUUGCUUUUUUUGCAGGGGGGUAGGUAACUGGGGGUUGAAUUCAGGGGCACUCGACCACUAAGCCACAUCCCCAGCCCUAUUUUGUAUUUUAUUUAGAGACAGGAUCUCACUGAGUUUCUUAGCACCUCGCCGUUGCAGAGGCUGGCUUUGAACUCGCAAUCCUCCUGCCUCAGCCUCCCGAGCUGCUGGGGUUACAAGUGUGCACUACUGUGCCCAACAUAUAUUGCUUUUUUAAUCAAGGAGGAAAAGUUGAUUUUUUUUUAUUAAAGGGAUUAGAAUUGACUGACUACUUUACCUGAGCUAAGUGUAUAAUGUUGUUACUAAAACAGCACUUGGAAUCACAGGCUACCUUUACGUGAGCAUGGUAGCCACAUAAGGUCAGUAAUGGCACCACUGUGCCUGCACAGAGCUCAUCACCAUGUUUUAUUCUGUGGUCCAUGUAUUGACAGAAACAUCAUUCAUCAGUAAAUGAAGAAUCUGCAAUCUUGUCCUGUGAGCUAAGGACAAGAACCUGGUUUGGAAAAGAAGACUCAUGACAAGUAUCUCUUUAUAUGUGAAGUUCUAUAAGGUACAAGAGGAGGCAUCCUCAGAAGUCAGACAAUCACAAGAAGAAUCUAUUCUCAACAUAAGAAAGAACCUGAAAAAGUAAAGUGGGCUAGAAAUGGGGUAGUGUUUAUGCACAAUUGUGGACCCUUGUGAAUUUUGUAGGAAAGACUUCUGUGUCCUCUGGCUAAUUUAUAAAUUCAUGGAGACACUCAUUUUUUUUUCAGCCAAUAUUUAUUGAGAAGAUCUGGUAGUCCAAGAAAGCUGGAUUGAGUGACUUUUGGAGAGUUCUUUUCAAUCAAAUUAUGCUUCUUCUCAGUUCUGGGUCUCUUAUACUAUGACUUCAUUCAAAAUGAUUUUGAUUGUGUGCUAACUAUUCAAGGGAUAUUUUUUCAGAAUCUACCAUGAACAAGUACAAACUUAAAAGAUUAAGUCUAAGAUGCGUGAAUUCCAAACCUGCAAAGUUAAGGCCCUUGGUAGCAGUCACAGGAAAUCCUGAGCAAUCCUGAGAAUCCAGGUCCAAUUCCAGACAAAGGCAUUUUGCUUGACUAAUCAGGUCAGGGAGCAAGAGGAACCCAAACAAGGGGUCAGCAACCUUGAGAGAAUAUGAAAAGGAGUUAACCAUCAAGGCAUCAAAAAAAAAAAAAAAAGGAAAAUUAAGAAGGCCUAAUAAGCACAAAUGGAAACAGAAAUGAUGAGAAGAUCUGCCAUAGAACAUCUUUCCACCUCUCUACUUUUCUGUCCUCCUGAUAUCUGGACUAUUCUGCAACAGUACUACCUCCGUUUGGCUCUAAAGUCGAUUUAGUCUUGAAUUCUGAUCCAAUACAUAAGAAGUGAUGCCAUGUUUGGCAUGUCUUGCAUUGUUAGAGGGUCCCUAUUAAAAAAGCUUCUUUCUCUUUUUUUACUAGCAUUUUUUCAAACUCUCUAUCUCUCUAUCUCCUUGAUUGCAACACACACAUGCAGGAAUACACACGUACACACAUACGGUUUCUUUGAAGCACAGGAACAUACUCUACUUCAGGCAAGAGGAGUGCAGGUCAAGAGCCAAGAGAGCUUCUCACGGGUAAUCAGUCCACUGGUAAUCAUCCAAGAGCCUUGAAGGAGGUUCACAUGGAAUCCCCAUAGCUCCUUUGCAACUCUCUCAUAUGAAUUCUCAUCCCUAGUUGUCCCUGGGAAAUAUCAGUCCUCCACCUCUCUGGGGCACAUCUCUGAAGCUAGACUCACUUAGAGUCCUCAGGACACUGGCUUCUGGAAUUGACCAAGGCCAGUAAGCAAGGAACUGAUCAUACUAAAAUUAGUAUAGCCCAAACCCCAGCACAGGAAUCUCAGAAUGUCCUAGGGAAUAGGAUAUUUAUUCCUUGGGCCAGUUUUCUGUAUCUGGUGCUGUGUAAUUUGAUAUAUGAAUAUUUUGCAAAAUCCUGAGUAUAUCAUUCUAGAGUUGUAUAAAAUGAGAAUGAUUGGAUUUAAGUGACUUAUUGAAUGUUGUCAAGCAGAGGUAGUGAUGUCAAAAUUCAAGCCUCAAUCAACUUAAGACCAGAAUUCAUACUGUUGUUGAACUGAAAUGAAUUGAUCUAAACCGGCCUCCAUACUUCAACAAUGAAUCAACCCAAAAGGGAUUUUUGUAAGUACAAACUUACAACCUAGCUUGUGGUGCAAGCACAUUGUAACCUAACCAGAGUACACUGUUGUAGCUAAGCAACUGAGUCUCAGCCAAUCACAGCAGCAGACCCCUCAGUCAAUUUCCAGCUAAAGAUUGCCUGUUAUGGUUUAGCUGUGGUGUCCCCCAAAAGCUCAUGUGUGAGUCACUGCAAGAAGGUUCAGAGGAGAAAUGAUUGGAUUGUGAGAGUCUUGACCCAAUUAGUAAUUUAAUCCCUAGUAGGGGUUACUGAGUGGUAACUGAAGUGGUACAGUGUGGCUGGAAGAAGUAGGAAUUGGGGUGUGGGUUUGGGUAUAUAUUUGUGUCUGGGAGUGGAGUCUGUCUCUCUCUGCUUUUUGAUCACAGUGAUGUGAGCUGCUUCCCUCUGCCACUCUCUCCCGCCGUGAUAUUCAGCCUCACCUCUAGUCCUGAGGAAUGAAGCAGGCCUUCUAUGGACUAAGCUCUCUGAAACCAUGAGCCCUCAAAUAAACUCUUCUUUCUCUAUAAUUGUGCUUGUCAGGUCCUUUAGUCACAGCAGUGAAAAAGCUGAACUAAAACACUGCCCAAUUAUAUCAAAUAAGGGGGCUGGGAACACUGCAGCAAUCAGACAAUCCCUGUACACCUUUUCCUGUUUUCCUGGUUAUAAAAGUACUUCAUCACAUUGUAAGUGUUGGGGGACAUUCUGAACCAUCUUCUGACUAGAAUGCUGCCUGACUCUAGAAUAGUUUUUCUUGCUCAAGUAAACUUUGUUAAAUUGAAUUGGUCUCCAUUUUCAUUUUUAAUACUGUUUAUUGACACCAUGCAACCUUUCUGAGAAAUGCUAAUAAUUAACUGGGUGUGGGAGGGUAGGGCUGUGAGCCAGAAAAGAAUCAAAGGCUAAUAGUCCACUAAUAGUCCAAAGUCAAGAAUCCAAUAUUGACAAGAUAGAUCCUCCCUUCCCCCUUUUUUUUUUCUCUUGUCCCUCUGUUCCCAGCAUGGGAGAGGCAGGGCCCAUAGAGGUGGGGGAAGUUAGGGGAUGGGCCUGGAGGUGCCCCAGAGAACAAGGCUCUGUAGAUAAAGUAAAUGAACCAGAGUUGUGAAUUCAACCCCACCUAAAGUCAUUGAAACAUGUACCGGGUGCUCCGUGCAGAUAGCUCUCAUCUUUAUCAGAGAACAUGAUAUUCAGAUUGUUAAAUGACAGCAAGACUAUAUGCCACAGAUGGUUCCAGGCAGCCAGCGCUUGAUCAGGAGUUGCAAUCAGAGGACAGCCUUGUGGAUGAAGGGAGCCGAGAAAAGUUGCUGAGAAGCUCACAGAUUCCCACCAAAACUAAGCCACUCAGAGUUUGUGGAAUGAAAAAGUGAACACAAAGGGCGGAGUGAAUUUAGAAAGGAAGAAAGGAAUUGAGAUGACAUUCCAAGAAAUGAGAAAAAUGCCAGAGAAGCCUUAGGGGCAGGAAUAAGUGGAAGGGGAGGGAAACACCAUGGUUCAUAUCCAGGAGGAGUGGGGGCUGGCAUUGUGUAGUCGCGAGGUCUGUUUUGUCCUAAAGCAACACACUACUUAGAAGCACUUUGGCAAUUCCACUGGGUGUCUCACAAGCCAAUCAAACUUAACUGGUUCCAAACUGAGUUUGAAAUCCUGGGUUUUCAUGUCUUAAUGGAUGGCAAAUCUCUCCUUCCACUUGCUCAGGGCAAACAUCUGGAAGUUAGUCUUGACCCUUCCCUUUCUCUCACAGAUUGUAGCCACUCCGUUGGGAAAGAUUAGCUGCACCUUCCUGAUAUGCCCAGAUUCUACAAUGAAACUUCUUCCACCCCUUCCUCUAAUCUCCCUAGUCCAGGUCCUUAUUGCCUCCUUUCUCAGUUACCAUGGUGGCCCCUUGUUUGACCUCCCUGCUUCCACUCUGUGCCCUGGAGUCGGUUCUCAGUGAGGUGGCCAGAGGCAUUGUUUUAAAAUGCAUAUCAGAUUAUGUCAAGUCCUACUCAAAACCACUGGAGCCAUCUCUCUCUGAGUGGAAGACAAAGUCCUUACACUGUCCCACAAAAUCAGUGGUCUUGAGUACCUCUUCCACCUUCCAACCCUCCCCAGUUUCACCUUCUGAUUCUCCCCUACCUACUCCCUCUGCUCAGGCCCUGUGUGCCUCCUUGCAGGACCUCAGCUGCUCCAGGCAUGCUCUAAGUUGGGGACCUUUGUACUUGCUCUUCCCCUUCCUGGAGUAUCCUUCCUCUAGAUAUUGAACUGGCUUCCUCACACCUUUUGUAUAUAUUUGCUCUAAUAUAUCACCUCUGCACUCAGCUCUUCCCUCAUCACCUAACCUAAAAUGAUAGUCUUUUCCUUGGCACUCUUACCCUUCCUUGCUUUAUUUUUCUUCAUAGUAUUCAUUAUAAUCUGGCAUAACUGUGUAAUUACUUUAUGUCUCUCUCUGCAACUAGAAUAUAAGCUGUAUGAGGGUGUGGGUCCAUUUUCUGUAACUGUAACAAAGUACGUGAGGCUGAGAACUUUUUAAAGAUAAACUUAUUUAGCUCAGAGUUCUGGAGGUUUAAAGGCAUUAUGCUGGCAUCAGCAUAUCUCUGGGGUAGGCUUCAUGGUCGUUGGCAUCACAGUGUGUGUGAGAGGAAGAGAUCACAUGGUGAGACAAAGAGCCGAGAGAUGGGGGCCCCAUAAAAACUGUAUGAAACCCUUCUGAGGGUAUGUCCCAGUGACCUGAUGACUUCCCACUGGUAAUAUUUAUUUGUUUAUUAUUUUUUUAAAUUUUGAUAUAGGGUCUCACUAAGUUGCUCAGGGCCUCACUACGUUACUGAGGCUGGCUUUGAACUUGCAAUCAUCGUAGGCCUCAUUUUUACGGGAUCCCACCACCUCUUAACAUUGCCACACUGGGGACCAUGCUUCCAAAACACAAACCUUUAAGAGGCACUUGAACCACACCCAAACCAUAGCUGUGAUGAUUGGAAUUUCUUUUGUUUUAUUGACUGUUGUAUAUUUAGCCCCUGGAACAGUGCCUGGCCCAUAUUCAAUGAAUGAAUGAGUGACAGAAAACUUGGUCAGAGAGAAUGUUGAAACUAGAUAACAAGAGAAACAACAUCAAUAAUAACACUUUCAAAUUUAAGCUAUUCUCUGUUCAAUUGUUAGAACUCCACCUCAGUUUGGAAAGAUUCCUCUUAACCCUUUGUCUUCUCUGUGUUCACCACUGUCAGAUGGUAGUUGUGGAGGUCAGUUAACAGAGAAGGGGCUUUAGAUGGUGUUACAGGUUGUUUUUUUCAGCUUUGCACCACUGUGACCAAAAUAACUGCCAGAACAACUUUGAGGAAGUGAAGUUUGGUGGUCACAGGUUCAGAGGUCUCAGUCCAUAGAUGGCUGACUCCAUCGCUCUGGACCCAAGGUGAGGCAGAACAUCAUGGAGGACGGGUCCAGCUUAGGAAAGUUGCUCAGCUCAUAGUUGGGUCAGGAAGUAGAGGGUGGGGGGAAGGGGGCACAGGCAAAAUGAACCCUUUCAGGGCACACCCCCGUGACCCACCUCUUCCAGCCAUGCCCCACCUGCCUACAGUCAGUCCAUUCAGAUUAGGAUUGAUUAGGGUCCACUCUCAUAAUCCAAUCACUUCACCUCUGAACAUUCCUGCCUUAAUACAGGAGCUUUUGGGGAACAUAGAUUCAAACCAUAACAUAGAUUAAAUUUUGUAUCUCCCGAAAUUACAUGAAGUCCUAAUCUUCAGUUCCUUGUUCAGAAAUAGGCCCUUUACAGAGUAAUCAAGUUAGGUCCUUAGAUAGGCCCUAUACUCCAGUGUGACUGAUAUCCUUAUACAAAGGGGGAAUUUGGACACACACGGAGGGAGAGAAGGCAAAGCCACACACAGGGAGACAUGAUGGGCAUGUGAAGAUAGUGGCAGAGACUGGAGUAAUGCCACCACAGCCAAAGAAUUCCUGGAGCUACUAGAAGCUGGAAGAAGCAAGGAACAGAUUCUCCCUUGUAGUUCUCAGAAGGAACCAACCAGGCGGACACCUGAUCUGUCCUGAACAUCUCACCCCCAGGACAGUGAGACAAAAAAAAAAAAAAAAUUCGGUGGUUAAACACCCAGUUCAUGGUUCCUUGUUACAAUAAUCCUAGGAAAUUAGUAAAGAUGGGACGCUUCCUUUUUACCAGACGGGCAGCUUGAUUUGAGUAGAAAAUAGGAAACCCAGACCUCAUCUUGCCCUGGUGCUUGCAGGUGGGAUGGGGAAGUGAAGGGGGUCAGUGAGCCUGUCAGUAGGGGCAGAAGAGCAAUUGAGGACAGAGUGGGCAGAGCACCCCCAUCUUGGCCAUGGUCAUGCCCUGUGCUGUAAAGCAAAUCACCCCAUCUUUUAGGCCUUCACACUGUCACUGGCCAAAUGAAUUUCUGGAGUGGAUCUUGCCCACUAGCACCCCCAUGUUCCUUGAUUCUGUGAGCUCCUUGGAGGUCUGAGCCUCUGCAGAAGGCAAGGGAAGAAAACAUUUAAUAAAAUGGUGACCAGAAAAACAUUUUCAAAAACUAUUAAUAUGCAGAGCUUAGAUGAACAAUUUUAAAACUUUGUAUGAGGUUCUCCUUAGCUGGCUUUUCAUCAGCACUUAUUUCUAGCUCAGACGAUGCCAUUGAUAAAAUGAAUGGAGAGGCGAGUCCGUGCUUGAGUAGGUGAUGGUCCCAAAGUGGUAACUACUAAAUUAAGCCAGCGGAGGCUGCCCAAGUUCAAUUCAAAAGUGGAAGCGGAAAAAAUAUCACGAAAAGGAAGAAGACUAAACGAAGAUAAUUUUUAGUCUGUCAGAGAAAAAAGUUAUGCAGAAGGGCCCAAAAUAAUACAUAAUUGGCAAGCUUAUUGUCAACUCUGCCACUUUAGUCCCAGUGGAAUUAUAUGUCAGUUGUAUAAAUUGCUAUAAAUAAUUAUCAGUUUUGUAAAAAUUAUAUGCAGACAGAGAAGCUGGUGUCCCUAUGGGAGCUAGAUCUGUGAAACAUUCAGACUUGGAAACAAUUAACACUCUCCAAAAUCAACCCCAUAGUCUGUAUCAUUAAGGUAUUUUCUUGAAUAGUUUAUCUGUCCUUAACAGGAAUUUUGCUGUUGGAUUAAUUCUUUUCCCCCUGCCUUAUAAACUGUAAAGACUUUUUCAAAAGAUAUAAACUAAUUUUUUUUCCAUCAGGUACCUUCAUUAUCUCUCCAUUAUCCCAUAUACAUCACAAAUUUUCUCAAAGAAAAUGCCCUAUAUAUUCAAAAUAAACCAAACCCUCUCUUUAACCAAGCAAAGUUAUUUGCAUUUGAUCCAUUCCCAUUCUUCCAAAAUAUUAGAAGCAAGUGUGUCAUAUAACAAGUGAAUUGCAGAUUUGGAAGGUAUGUAAGAGGUUACUUUAUCUUAUUUCAUUCAUUCAUUCAUUCACUCACUUCCUCAACUGGCCAGCGAUCUCCUUGAGGAAACCCAUGUGCCUGCUACCAGUUUUCUGGCAAAUGCCACUUGGCCCCACCACUGUUCUUAUAUUCUGUGUGCUCAUUUGUAGCUUCCAGUAGACCAAGAGCUCCUCAGGAGGAUGUAGAUCUGCUCCCAGCACCAGAGUUCUCAGUGCUUCCAUAGUUGCUCAGCUCAUAAAAAGUCAAUUCAUAUUUGCUGAAAGCUGAAUGAGUGGCUGACUAGAAGGAUACACAAAUGAAGGUUCAAAUCCUAAGCUGUUCUGGAAAACUCACCUAAGAGAAGGUAGUUCUGCACUCAUUCAUGUUCUUCUCUUGCCUUUAAUCACUUACACCAAGGAGUUCAGAAACCAUUGAAUGUUCACCCAUCAAUGCAGACUGUUAAAAUCCAGCAACAUGACUGUAUGACCAAUGUGAUUCUGCAACCUGUACACUCAGAAAAAUGAGAAAUUAUAUACCAUCUGAUUCAAAUGUAUGAUAUGUCAAGAUCAUUGUACUGUCAUGUGUAACUAAUUAGAACAAAUUUUAAAAAAAGAAAAAACAAUCCAGCAACAAAUCUUAAAAUGACCAAAGCACUCAUGAAUUUUUUUUUUCUCAUUUUCAACAGGUAAUACAUGUACAUUAUUCCAGAGUGGAGAAAUCUCAUUCCCACAUGUCUCCAGGUACUCCGUUCCCCCAAGACCCUUAUCCCAACCUCUCUAGGUAGGAACCAUAGGAACUAGUUUCUCUGGAACAGUCCCAACCUGUGCUUGUCUUGGUAUAAUUAUUAACAGUGAUCUUUUCACUCUCAAAAAUAUUCCACUUAGGCAAAAACUACUGUGAUUAUUUUGUGUAUAAUUAACUGUUUUACUAUUUCCUUCCAGCUUUUUAUUUAUUUAUUUUUAUGGGGUUGAAAAUUGAACCCAGUGCCUACUGUAUGUUGAGCUCAGUGAGCCCUACUGCUGAGCUACACCCCUAGUACCAAGCUUUUCUUUAUGUAAAAUCAAACAAGUAAGAAUUUAUAUUCACUUCCCUAGCCCCUACUUUUUUUCUUUUUCUUUUUCUUUUCUUUCUUUUUUUUUUUUUUAAAUACUGUGUCUUGCUGAAUUGCCUAGGCUGGUCCCAAACUCCUGAGCUCAAGUGAUCCUCCCACCUCAGCAUUACAAGUAAGUAGCUGGGACUCAGGCAUGCACCCCCAUUCCGGGCUGUUCCUCUCUUUUAGUGCUUUUUCUUAUAUAUUCUUUUCAGUGCCUUUUCUUCUUGACAGCAUGGAUCCCUUUCUGUAGAAAUGCUCCUCAAUUUUCCUCCCUCUGUCCCUCCCUCCUCUCCUUCCUUCCUUUCUUUUUUCUUUUUGCAGCUACAUGGCCCACUGUGGGGAUGACGACGGCUUAUUACCCAGUUUGUUAUUGAUGGGCCAAGCAACUGGGCUCUUUCCAAUUAUCUGUCAUGACAGUCACUGUAGCAGUGUUAUCUCACUUGGUGUUGGGUCUGUAGGAAAAUACUCAGAAGUGGGAUUGCUGGGUCAAAUGGCAGAUGCAUCUGUAAUGUAGAUAGGUAUUGCCAAAUUUCCCUCCGUUAAGGAAAAUUCCAUAAACUUAAAAGAUAUUGUGUUUUCCUAUAGCCUUGCUCUGAAAUGUCUCACAGACUACAUGACUUGAUCCAAAAUUAGAAACCACGACCCAGCAGAGAACAUUCUUGGCAUAUCCCUUUCCCAGAAUCAGACCUGGCUCCCUAGACCUGCCAGAGAAAGGCUAGCACAUUAAUAACUUGCUCCAGUUGUGAUAUAAUCAGGUAAUUUCUGCAAACAUUCUUUAUAUAAAUGCUUUCAUCGAUGCAAAGAGCUUGCAGUAUUUUCCUGUCCUUUUAUUUUUGUCAAUUAUUUCCAGUUUUUGCAUUAAGUCUCUGAACAAUCUGGUGCUUCUUUAGCCUGAUGUAUACAGAGAAUUAUUAUGAAUUAUAGAAAAUUGCAGUGUUGAUAGUUAUGUUGGGACAGCAGGAAUUAGGUAUGUUAGCAUUUGGGAAUUACCUAACCUAUCAUCAUGCUUUUCAAACCCUUUGGGCUAAUGAAGGAAGGCUGGUUAAUUACUCAUGCCUGCAGUUAAAGUGGCCUUGCUAGAAUAAAGAAAACGAAUCUAAUGGGAAGCUAAAAAUGAGGCUAUUAUUUAACCAAUUAAGAUUUUCUCAAAUUAUGGUCCUUGGCCACCUACAUCUGAAUCACGGGAAGUACUUGUUGAUUGAAUAGAUUCCUAGAACACUUUCUAUCUACUCACUUUUUCAGUUUCUCCUGCCAGUUUCUCUUCACAUGCCAUUGUUCUGGUCAAUGUCACUGUUAUCCAUAAUUGUUGAUCAGAAACCAUGUAUGGAACACCAGCCCAAUGCUCUGUAGGAUGCUUCUAGCUUCUCUCACCUUGAUUUUUAGAAAGGAUGUUUGCCUGCUUGCCUUUGUUUCCUUUUCUUCUUUCCUCCCUCCCUCCCUCCCUCCCUCCCUUCCUCUCAUAAAAUGUAAAAAAAAAAUUACUGUAAAAAUUUUCAAAUACAAACAAAACUAGAAAGAAUAGUAUAAUCACCUUUAUGUAUCCAUCACCAAUUUUAGUAAUUAUCUCACAACCAAUCUUGUUUCAUCUAGAAACCUACCAAUAUGAUUUCCCCCUUGGAAAUCACAGACAUUUCAUUUGUAUUUUCUGUCUGCAAUUUUUUGUUUGCUUUUUUUGUUUGUUUGUUUACAUGGUACUAGGGAUUGAACUCAAGGUUAUUUACCCCUGAACUACAUCCCCAGUCCUUUUUAUUUUUUAUUUUGAGUCAGUGACUUGCUAACUUACCCAGACUAGCCUUGAAUUUGUGAUCCUCCUACCUCAGCUGCCAGAGUAGCUAGGAUUAUAGGUGUGCACCACCAUGCCUGAAUGUAAAUAUAUUUUCAUAUGCAUCUAGAUUCCC
Molecule: long non-coding RNA, 26128 nt
Filed under: Marmota monax (woodchuck)
Lineage: Eukaryota; Metazoa; Chordata; Mammalia; Rodentia; Sciuridae
Source: RNAcentral